Molecule: ribosomal RNA, 400 nt
Filed under: uncultured bacterium
Lineage: Bacteria
Description: bacterial SSU rRNA
Rfam family: Bacterial small subunit ribosomal RNA
Source: RNAcentral
GGGGAAUAUUGGACAAUGGGCGCAAGCCUGAUCCAGCCAUGCCGCGUGAGUGAUGAAGGCCCUAGGGUUGUAAAGCUCUUUUGUCCGGGACGAUAAUGACGGUACCGGAAGAAUAAGCCCCGGCUAACUUCGUGCCAGCAGCCGCGGUAAUACGAAGGGGGCUAGCGUUGCUCGGAAUCACUGGGCGUAAAGGGCGCGUAGGCGGACGUUUAAGUCAGGGGUGAAAUCCCGGGGCUCAACCUCGGAAUUGCCUUUGAUACUGGAUGUCUCGAGACCGGAAGAGGUAAGUGGAACUGCGAGUGUAGAGGUGAAAUUCGUAGAUAUUCGCAAGAACACCAGUGGCGAAGGCGGCUUACUGGUCCGGUUCUGACGCUGAGGCGCGAAAGCGUGGGGAGCAAAC